This 492-nucleotide ribosomal RNA is filed under the name uncultured bacterium. RNAcentral's name for it is "partial 16S ribosomal RNA". It matches the Rfam family "Bacterial small subunit ribosomal RNA", at positions 29 to 507 of the family's 1533-position model. The record is from RNAcentral.
AGUGAACGCUGGCGGUAGGCCUAACACAUGCAAGUCGAACGGCAGCACAGUAAGAGCUUGCUCUUACGGGUGGCGAGUGGCGGACGGGUGAGGAAUACAUCGGAAUCUACUUUUUCGUGGGGGAUAACGUAGGGAAACUUACGCUAAUACCGCAUACGACCUACGGGUGAAAGCAGGGGAUCUUCAGACCUUGCGCGAUUGAAUGAGCCGAUGUCGGAUUAGCUAGUUGGCGGGGUAAAGGCCCACCAAGGCGACAAUCCGUAGCUGGUCUGAGAGGAUGACCAGCCACACUGGAACUGAGACACGGUCCAGACUCCUACGGGAGGCAGCAGUGGGGAAUAUUGGACAAUGGGCGCAAGCCUGAUCCAGCCAUACCGCGUGGGUGAAGAAGGCCUUCGGGUUGUAAAGCCCUUUUGUUGGGAAAGAAAAGCAGCAGGUUAAUACCCCGCUGUUCUGACGGUACCCAAAGAAUAAGCACCGGCUAACUUCGUG